This is a long non-coding RNA of Alosa sapidissima (American shad), 639 nucleotides long. RefSeq lists it as uncharacterized. Lineage: Eukaryota; Metazoa; Chordata; Actinopteri; Clupeiformes; Clupeidae. The record is from RefSeq and is a predicted model, not a curated record. The transcript is spliced from 2 exons.
CUGAGGUGACGCAUCGAAAGUAGCCUAGACAAGCCUACUCGAUAAUGUGACUUCCAAGGAAGGUUGAGUCUUUGGCUGUCUGUUGAAACGUGGGGAACUUAUCAGGACAUAGACGCGGAUACAUUAAAUGAAUUCAGGCGAACUGCUAUAUGAAGAGGGAGACUGAAGAAGAUAACCCUGUUUCCUGUAUGAACACAUGCUUGAUAGCGUCACGAGUCUUAUCGAAGACAGCACUGACCAUGACUGGAGUUUUCAAGUUGUUCGCCGCGACAUUCUUGGCUGUUGCAGCAACUCUCUUCAGGAUGGUGGACUGCGUUGGAGGUCUGAUGUACGUUCAGGGGCCUCUUAGUACGUCGUACAGCUACCAGACUGUGACAGAUGUGUAUGAAGUCCCAUCUGAAGAACAGCAUUUGAACAUCAGGAUCAGUCAACGAUGAUAAUGCAGACAAAACAGGACUAUGGCCCCUGGCUCACACAGUGGUUUUGGGCUUAGAACAAUUAUGCACUAGCUGACUAAGUAGGGCAUUUCAAGAGAGAAAGAGCCAUAGAUAUGAAAUCAGUACAUUAUUUGUACUUGUUUGCUCAUAAGUGAGUAAAGAAGUAGAUCAUCAAACAACACUUGAUACCAAUGCAGAAAAA